UUCUCAGAAGAAUAGCUGAAGAAGAUUCAGGGGCAGAGAUUACAGAGGGAAGACAGACAAUGCAAGUUGAAGCUCACAGGACAAGGGCACUGAUUGUGUCUCUGUGUGUGUGCAUGCACAAAUGCACAAAAGAAACAGAGUAAGAGCAGAAGCUGAUGUGGUCUAACACAGGAGUCCUCAAACCCCAGGCCACAGACUGGAAGGUGUGUUAGGAACCUGGCCGCACAGCAGGAGUUGAGCAGCAGAAAGGCAUCAAAAGAAAGCCUAAGUGUGAAAUAAUACUCAUCAUUAAGAAGUAAAGAGCCACACAAAUCAACAGUUUGGCUUAGAUUAGAUUAAUCUCUUAUUUUGCCCAAAUAUUAUCUUAAAGUCUGAAAAAAUGUCUAAUUCAACUAAGAAGAAAUUUACUCUAAUAAUUAUAUAAAGACAGGAAAACAACAAAUAUAGGAACAAAUUGAAGGAUGUCUAAAUCUGCUGUUAUCACAGGCUGAUUUUCCACAUGUAUGCAUAAAUUGGCAUGCCACCUUUCAUUCUGUCUGUUUGAGAGAUUGAUUGUUUUCCCUAAGGAGCUGAUCGUAUAUUAUUCUGGGAAGCCUGAGUGUUAUCUUACAGGCUACAGAGAACACUACAGGAACUGUCCAAGUCGUGCUAUUAUCUGGUUUAAUUUUCAGGAAUAUGACCCUGGUAGCAAUAAAAGAAAAAAAAUGGCAGGAAUGUUUGAAGGAAGUCCCUAAAACUAUGUAGGCAAGAGAUAAUGAGGCACUGGAGGAGGUGGGGGACCCCAAGCAGCAAGGCUGGAAGACUCUCCCUAUAAAUGGGCA
This 821-nucleotide long non-coding RNA is filed under the name Homo sapiens (human). RNAcentral describes it as "HSALNT0329463". The record is from RNAcentral. Lineage: Eukaryota; Metazoa; Chordata; Mammalia; Primates; Hominidae.